Molecule: ribosomal RNA, 253 nt
Filed under: uncultured bacterium
Lineage: Bacteria
Description: partial 16S ribosomal RNA
Rfam family: Bacterial small subunit ribosomal RNA
Source: RNAcentral
UACGUAGGGGGCAAGCGUUGUCCGGAAUCAUUGGGCGUAAAGAGCGUGUAGGCGGCCCGAUAAGUCCGCUGUGAAAGCCCAGGGCUCAACCCUGGGAGGCGGGUGGAUACUACGGAACUGGAGUACGGAAGAGGAGAUUGGAAUUCCUGGUGUAGCGGUGAAAUGCGCAGAUAUCAGGAGGAACACCAACAGCGAAGGCAGAUCUCUGGGACGUUACUGACGCUGAGACGCGAAAGCGUGGGGAGCAAACAGG